Long non-coding RNA from Medicago truncatula (barrel medic), 2589 nucleotides. RefSeq lists it as uncharacterized. The record is from RefSeq and is a predicted model, not a curated record. NCBI's taxonomy places the organism in Eukaryota, Viridiplantae, Streptophyta, Magnoliopsida, Fabales, Fabaceae. The transcript has 9 exons.
AAAAUAUAAAAGAAGAGCAGUUCUGCAGGCAAAAUUUGCAAAAACCCUAAGCAAAUUUUUCCCAAUUUAACUAGCAACUCAUGUGGAGGGAAAACCCUAGGGUUUAAUUGUGGAAAUUUACUUUGCUGUCCUUGAGGUCAUGUGCAAUUGCCUUGGGAACCAAGUAGCUUGGCGUGAAGGAAAUCUACAUUGAUAAAUGAGCACAAGUUAACUAGGCUUAGGCAAUGAUGGUUGUGGCAUUUAACCGUACACUUGGCUGAAGAAUUGGAUUGGAGUUUUGAAAUGAACGUUUGGGAUAGCCUCAAUUAGCUAAUAAGCAUUUAACCAUACACUUGGUUGAAUAUUUGAUUUGCAUGUUUGAGAUUACUUUGUUCUUCUUUCUAUAUAAGUGGAUGUUGUGCUUUCACAAACCACAACACAUGAGCUACAUUUCAUCUUUUAAAACCAAAGUAAGCAAUGGAGAAUUUUGGAAACUUCACAAUGCAUGCUAAGGAUCGUGAGGCUGCUGGUGUUGUAUGCAUGAUGAAAGGUUUCUGUCAAUCUGCAUUUCCUGUAUACAUGACCUAUGUAAUCUUGAUUGAUAUGUUCUCAGCAAUGUUCUCAUAACCCUCUGAUGACUACAUGAUAUUGAUGAAAGUACUGCUGGAUUUUUCUUAAAUGAUUGAGAUCCAAGACACUGCUAUGACAAGUGGUGUUGUAGAGGCUGCUGAAGCAUUGAUCUCUCUCAAAGAACCUACAGGUUUUGAUUUGAAUGUGCGGCCUGCUAGCAAGGGUGUGUCAAUGGUGAAUUCAUAUCUCUUGGAAUUUGACAUCACAAGUGCAAUGGCAAGGCUGCCUAGGUGUUUUGGAGCAUGGCAUGGAAAUUGAUGAGUUCAUUAUGCUGUGUGAUCCAAGAAACAAUGAGAUAGAGAGGUCCAUGUUGAGAUCAAAGACAACAAGGUAUUUUUCAAGAAUGGCUGGUUUGGGUUGAAGGAUUUCUACAAUAUUGAUAUUUUUGCAUGGGCUACUCUUACAUAUGAAUACUCAGGUUUUAUGCGGAUGACUUUGAAAAAUCGGUUUCACGAGGAAGUUGAAUACCCUGUUUGCAAUCCUCCAGUGAUAGCUAAGUUGGAUCGUGAUUUGUGUCAAUGUAGUUCACUGGUUUUUUGCGCAUUAUCCGUCAUAAUAUUGACUUAUUUUUGGUAUCGCCUUGGGUUGGAUUUUGUAAGAGUGCAUUUCCCACUAAGGAAACUGAGAUCAAAAUCGUUGAUUACUUGGGAUUUACUUAGAGGUGCUCCUAUCGAAUUGUUCAAGCUGAGAAUGAUUUGGUGUGCAAAAUAGGAGGUGAUUAGGGAGCUAUUUGCAAGGCACGAAGGCUGGUGCAGAAUAAUCCUCUAAAGUUGGCUGUAACUCAGGAGUCAGAGAAUAAGAUUGUCUACCUAAGAUAUGUCCCUAUUCCCUGCACCCACAUGGACAUGAUCCGGCCUACGGAUAAAAGUGUGUGCCUUGAUGCUGCUGAGGCAGGGUUCCCCCCAACAGGAACAACUAUCUGUAUCGCAGAUGAAUUUUCCCUUAGAGAGAUGCAAAAGUUGAACACAUAUCAUGUGGAGCUUGAGAUCACAACUCCGAAGACAAGGUUGCCAUCGUGUAUAUGGCGUGCGUUGGUGGCUAUGUCAUUUUGCGUGAUCCAAACAAGAACAUGUUUGAGGUUAAAGUUCACAAGAAAAAUGGCAAGGUGUACUUCAGGGAUGGUUGGAUAGGAUUAAAGGAUUUCUACAAGAUUGGCCUUGGUGCAUGGGUCACCCUUACCUAUAUAGAAUCGAACCUUUUCCACAUGACCAUAAAAGACAGAUCAGGAGUGGAAGUUGACUAUCCAAACAACUGUCUUCCUCCUAUAUCAAAGAUGAUUAUUCCAAGUGAUGGCAUACUGGUGAUGCGGUAUUACCGCACAUUCGUUCAUAUAUUGACAGCAUCUGAGAUUGAUUAUGGAUAUCUGGUUGUGCCUUGGUUUGGUUUCAGCGAGGAUGCAUUGCCCACAACUGCGACUCGGCUUUCUAUAAUCGAUCAUUUAUGGAAAUAUUUGGAAGUGUGAUAUGAUAUUCAUCAGGAUGGAAAAUACUAUAUUUCGCAGGAUUGGAGGUGACUGGAGACUCCUAUGCGCAGCGCGUAGAUUAGUCAAAGGUCAUGCUAUAAAGCUUGUUGUCACCGAAAAUACAAGGAAUGGUUACUUUGCAAUGCGUUCAUAGAGGUUUCGUGAAAUCUAUGAAUACUACUGAUGCAAGGCAUGUGUAUCAGGUUAACCAUUACUUCAUUCAGAGUCCACUCAGGAAAAAAUGCAGUGAUGUUUGAGAUGAUGUGUGCUAUAAGACAUGGAGUCUGUAGUUUUUUGGGGUUGGUGCUCUUUUGUUAUUGUGCAGUUGGCUGCCGUGUAUUUUGGAUGAUUUGUUUUGAGGUCAGUGUGGUCAUCUUGCAUUAUCUUCGUAUGAUAUGGUAAACCUUGAUCAAUGCUAUGUUUGUGAUUGUUUUUUUGUCUAAAGUCCGGUCAUUUUAGAAGUACUUUCUAAUUAUGGUUGAAUUUGAUGCAACAUAGCACUUAUGCACUUACUGUGA